RNAcentral lists this small RNA (119 nucleotides) under Sinorhizobium meliloti 2011. RNAcentral describes it as "putative ncRNA". Lineage: Bacteria; Pseudomonadati; Pseudomonadota; Alphaproteobacteria; Hyphomicrobiales; Rhizobiaceae. The record is from RNAcentral.
CGGCGCCUUCUCGGCCUGCCAGUCGAUCGUUUCCGGCGACACUUCGUUGCCGUUGCCGUCGAGAAGGCGGAUCGCGUUGCGCGCGAGAUAGGUCGGAUCCUUGCGCAUCAGCGGCAUGA